This 328-nucleotide ribosomal RNA is filed under the name uncultured eukaryote. Its description in RNAcentral is "partial 18S ribosomal RNA". It matches the Rfam family "Eukaryotic small subunit ribosomal RNA", at positions 1470 to 1796 of the family's 1831-position model. The record is from RNAcentral.
CCCUUAGAUGUCCUGGGCCGCACGCGCGUUACACUGAUGCAUUCAACGAGCUUAUAACCUUGGCCGAGAGGCCUGGGCAAUCUUGUUAACGUGCAUCGUGAUAGGGAUAGAUUAUUGAAAUUAUUAAUCUUGAACGAGGAAUUCCUAGUAAACGCAGAUCAUCAAUCUGCAUUGAUUACGUCCCUACCCUUUGUACACACCGCCCGUCGCACCUACCGAUUGGGUGGUCCGGUGAAGCCUCGGGAUUGUGGUUCUUGCCGCUUUAUUGUGGCGUGACCGCGAGAACUUGUCUAAACCUUAUCAUCUAGAGGAAGGUGAAGUCGUAACA